ACUUGCUUGACUAGGUCUUAUAAAGUUCUGGAUAAAGCUUAUUAUGAAAACUUUAUAUCCAUAGGUCUCGACCAAAUCUUGUGCCAGCAGUCGCGGUAAGACAAGGGAGACGAGUGUUAUUCAUCUUUAACAGGUAUAUAGGGUACCUAGACGGUGUGCAAUGGCUUAAAUAAGUACCUGGUACACUUGAGUUUGAUAUGUGAGAGGAAUAUGUCGGAAUUGUUGGAGGAAAGAUGAAAUUUGUUAAUACCAAUAGGACUGAUAACGGCGAAGGCAAACCUCUAUGUACAUGUACUUGCUAUUUCUGUUUUUAUUAUAGCAAAAUAGCAAUGUACUAUAACUGACGUUGAGGGACGAAGGCUCAGAGAGUGAAGAGGAUUAGAUACCCCCGUAACCUGGGCAGACAAUGAUGAGUGCCAUAGGUUGGCUUUAAGGCGGAACUAUAAAUGAAAGUGGAAGCACUCCACCUCAAGAGUAAUGUUGCAACGCAGGAAAUUAAUUUAGCAAACUAAUGAUCUAGACUAGUCCACCAUAUAUUUGGUCUAUAA
Molecule: ribosomal RNA, 548 nt
Filed under: Alternaria brassicae
Lineage: Eukaryota; Fungi; Ascomycota; Dothideomycetes; Pleosporales; Pleosporaceae
Description: SSU rRNA
Rfam family: Bacterial small subunit ribosomal RNA (bases 1-468)
Source: RNAcentral